ACGGGGAGGUAGUGACAAAAAAUAACGAUACGGGACUCUUAUGAGGCCCCGUAAUCGGAAUGAGUACACUUUAAAUCCUUUAACAAGGAHCCAUUGAAGGGCAAGUCUGGUGCCAGCAGCCGCGGUAAUUCCAGCUUCAAUAGCGUAUAUUAAAGUUGUUGCGGUUAAAAAGCUCGUAGUUGGUUCUGCGUGCCACGCUGUCGGUUCGCCGCCUGCCGGUGUAACUGGCAUGCCGUGGCAUGUCCUGUCGGUGGCGUUCGGGAGCCUCGUUUAGGUGCCGGCCCAAGCCUCAAAGCUUGGUGCUCGGAGGCCGGGGGUAUACCCGUUCGCCUACUCUAUCCUACCUAGGUGCUCUUCACCGAGUGUCGAGGUAGGCCGACACGUUUACUUUGAACAAAUUAGAGUGCUCAAAGCAGGCUGAAAUCUCUGCCUGAAUAGUGGUGCAUGGAAUAAUAAAACAGGACCUUGGUUCUAUUUUGUUGGUUCUUAGGAACACAAGGUAAUGAUCAAUACGGACAGGCGGGGGCAUUCGUAUUGCGACGUUAGAAACCUCACCAGGCCAGGACAUUGGAAGGAUUGACAGAUUGAUAGCUCUUUCUUGAUUCAGUGGGUAGUGGUGCAUGGCCGUUCUUAGUUGGUGGAUCGAUUUGUCUGGUUAAUUCCGAUAACGAACGAGACUCUAGCCUAUUAACUAGGCGUUUUCCGGUGUCCCCGCCACCGGCGACAUUCAUUCUUCUUAAGGGGACAGGCGGCUUUUAGCCGCACGAGAUUGAGCAAUAACAGGUCUGUGAUGCCCUUAGAUGUCCUGGGCCGCACGCGCGCUACACUGAAGGAAUCAGCGUGUGCCUCCCUGGCCGAAAGGCCCGGGUAAUCCGCUGAACCUCCUGCGUGCUAGGAAUUGGGGCUUGCAAUUGUUCCCCAUGAACGAGGAAUUCCCAGUAAGCGCGAGUCAUAAGCUCGCGUUGAUUACGUCCCUGCCCUUUGUACACACCGCCCGUCGCUACUACCGAUUGAAUGAUUUAGUGAGGUCUUCGGACUGGCGGUAAUCCCUA
RNAcentral lists this ribosomal RNA (1052 nucleotides) under Micromimetus sp. 3 AAN-2018. Its description in RNAcentral is "SSU rRNA". It matches the Rfam family "Eukaryotic small subunit ribosomal RNA", at positions 458 to 1750 of the family's 1831-position model. The record is from RNAcentral. Lineage: Eukaryota; Metazoa; Arthropoda; Insecta; Hemiptera; Miridae.